AACAGCUGACCCAUGAGCAGCCUGCAAUAGGAGCUUUCUUCUCUUUGGGGGAAGGAGAGUGACCCUGUGGACAGUUUCAGGACAUGUCACAGGUUUGACCACCUCUGUGGCUAAGGCACCUGGGUCCAAUUAUCCAGGGCCCCAUCUACCUAGAAGAAAAAACUGCAUUUGACUCUCCCAGACUGACUGCACUCUCACCAGACUCUCAUCCUCUUUCUCACAUGAACUUAAAGGAAUGCAAGUGGUAGAGGGGACCAUGGCUGUUGAAAUACACCCUCUAGGAUUUCAUCACUGUUUCAUGUGUUAAAACAGCCUUAAGUUUGAUCAUCAGCAACUUACUCCUCUGCACAGGUUGUCCUGGUAAAAGAAUGAGAUGCUUAUUUUUUUCCCAACUUCACUGAGAUGCAACUGACAUAUAGCAAUGGGAGUUCAUGGUUUCCAGUCUUACUUUUAAGUCCCUAAGCCAUUUCCAGUGAGGUGGAUACUAUUAUGUAUAAUACUCCUGACUCAGAGGUGCUGGAGUCACCAGUGGUCAGUAGUAAACUGAGCUAAACAGGGAUAUUCUUGGUCAAGCACCCAACAGCCUGCCCAGGACACUCACUGACCAGAGACUCUUGUUCCUCUGCUCCUCACUCUCCCUUUGUAUCAGCCUGGUCCACUUGGCAGUCGUCACCUGCCCAUCAGGGGCAGCUGCUGCUGCUGCUAAGUCGCUUCAGUUGUGUCCAUCAGGAGCAGCAGAAGAGCACAUUGUGAUCUCAUUCAUUUCGAGAGCAAAGACUGCUGUUUUAUGAACACUGGUCACCUCUGACUUUCUCCUCUACCAUCUAAGCCAACUCAGAAG
This is a long non-coding RNA of Bos taurus (domestic cattle), 841 nucleotides long. NCBI's taxonomy places the organism in Eukaryota, Metazoa, Chordata, Mammalia, Artiodactyla, Bovidae. The record is from Ensembl.